Non-coding RNA from Cricetulus griseus (Chinese hamster), 2535 nucleotides. The record is from RefSeq and is a predicted model, not a curated record. Lineage: Eukaryota; Metazoa; Chordata; Mammalia; Rodentia; Cricetidae.
CGAAGCCACAGUCCCAGUCUUUAACCUAAAGGGAUGUUUGAAUUCUGAAAAACCUUAUGGAUAAGCCUCGCAGUUAUGUACUUAGUCACAACCAGAGGGGAGGAACUUUGAAGGCACUGGAUUGAAGAGACACAAAAGUCAGGAAGUGACCCUUUCGUGGGGACUGCAGAGGCCACGGAGGAGAAACAAAGUCCCUUCACAACUGGGAAGACGGACCGUACCAUCCCAGGGGGCCGGAGUAGGGAAGAGGGCUGUGGAAACUGACGUCCUCGCUCUCAAGAAGCCGGCGAGGACACGGGAUUUCCCGGCUGAAAAGCCUCAGUGUCUGCCUGUCCCGGCCCAGCCUCUCCCCUGCUGUGGAGGCCUGGGUACCGCAGCCCGGGGGCGCCCUGCAUCACCACUUUGUGCACGGGCGGGGCCCUGCUCCCCAGCCUGGGGAUGGAUGGCGUGCCCUAGCCAGCCCAUCUGCGGCCACGGCUGGUCCGGGAGGAAGCAGUCCCCCGGGAUGAAUGGGGCUUUGUUCGCUGCCAGCCGCGCUCCCCUCGCGGCCCAGCCCGGCACAACGGAGGCAGUAUGCGACAGGCAUGGAAAUGAGCCGCGGGCUCUCCCCUCGCAGCGCCCAGGAAUGCUGGCCAGCCGGAAAGGAGCCCUCGCCGGGGACCCGCUCCCUCGCCUCUGAAACCCCAUUGAGAAGGGCUCUUUGAAGCAAUUAAAGCGCGUUUCACGGCGGCCCGGGAGGGGGCCCAGGCCGGCCAGCUUCUCUUUUUACCCCCCUCUUCUCUGUCCUACCGUGUUUGUGCACCUUGGUGUGGUGGGUAACCUAGAGACCAGGCCAGAACCAGCUCCCUCUCAUGCAGAGAUUCUGUAAACCUCACAAAAGCGUCUCCAUAAACAGAUUGCUUUAUCACCAGGGGGUGGGGGUGUGUGGUGGGGUGGAACCCAGUCUGGAUCUGAUCCAAGCUGACCUGCAGAGUCUGGGUUCCUGCUUUCAAAGGCUCCUUUGCUGGGCCCUACACCCACCUGCCCUGCUGUCAGGUUUAGGCGGGACAAGAAAUCGCCUCUGGGCAAGGAAGUCCUGAGGCUGCGGAUCAGCAUUUUCCAUUUUCUCAGCGGCGGGGUGGGUUGCGUUCAGGUCUAGAAGUGAUGUCACAGCUAGCCCUGCGAAGUGAUGUAACCUGCACAUGUUGAAGGACUAGGACCGGGCUGCUAUUUUGAGACUCUUGAGUUCCUUCCUUCCUCCCUGGAGACAAGUGGGUGACUGUGGAGAACUCAAGGCUGCUCUGGGUACAGCGGUUUUUGUCUGUUCCAGUGAAAACUUCUAAGGCCGGAGAGCUGACGCCAUAAAACAAGCGUGCUUGUGAAUUCUUUCUAAAUUGAAGCCAUGUAGACACAAACAACACAGCGCAAAGCCCCAUGGAUGAAAUGGCUCCGGGCUAGAAUGCAGGCCACACACUAGCAUGAGAACAAUGCCCCUCACACUGCAGACCUGUACCUGACAUGGGUCCCAGGAAGAUGGCUCACCAGCCUGCUGUGCAAGCCUGAAGACCUAAACUGGAUGCGCAGGGCCCAGCCACAUAGUGUUGACCUGAUACAGAAGACAAAUUCCUGUAUUGUGACCUCUGACCUUGAACUUGAAUGUCACAAAGGAUGGCUAGGCAGCCAUCCGCCACCAACACGAUUGAGAUGUUCUCGAGGAACUCUUUUUAUUACUUUAAACCUUUUUGGGGCAGGCACAGUAGCACACUUCAGCUUCCAGAAUGAGGCAGGAGGAACUCAAGUUUGAAGCCACCUUGCAUCAACAGCUGCAUGAAACUCCAUAGUGUGCACGUCGCACAUCUCUUUAUCCACUCAUCCAUCUCUUGACAAACAGCCAGGCUGGUUCCAUUUCCCAAUCGUCUUCAACAGUGCAGCAGUAAAUGUAGAUGCUGAGACACCUCAGUGGUGCACUGAUAAUGUUCUUCGGUUUAUUUUUGGUACAGGUUCUCCCUAUACAGCACAGACUGGCCUCAAAUUGGUGCUCUUCCUUCCUCAGUCUCCAGAGUACUGAUGUUACAGGGGCAAAGAAGCUCAAGAGAGAAAGCUGACAAGUGACUGGGCUCCCUAGAAACAACUGGAGUGGAAGGUUCACACUUGCUUUGAGGCAUACAUCAUAGGUUGGGACAACUUUGUGUAAGAGAGUACUAUUCAGAUACUGGGGUGACCCAUAGGUCACAACACUGCUUGUUGAGGUCUCAGUCAUUCGGAGGUGCUUGACAUGAGGUAGACAACUGUCAUCGUCACUGCUCAGCAGCCUGGCCUGCCAUGGGACCUCUGACCAAGGAAGACCCUGAUCCUGGAAGAUCAACUCAAGAAUAUAUGUUUUCUUGGGAAACUCCAGAAGAAGUCCUCUUGACAAAGGCUUGAUGCAGUAGAAUUCACGAUAACUAAAUGAAGGGACCAGCUCCCCAUUUCGGCAGCCAUAACAGCCUAACACAUGCUUGCCUGACCUUGCCUUGGUCACUAGGAGGUCAGAUGCCUGUCUCGUGGCAAGGAACC